Molecule: ribosomal RNA, 388 nt
Filed under: uncultured Amphinema
Lineage: Eukaryota; Fungi; Basidiomycota; Agaricomycetes; Atheliales; Atheliaceae
Description: eukaryotic LSU rRNA
Rfam family: 5.8S ribosomal RNA (bases 4-158)
Source: RNAcentral
UACAACUUUCAACAACGGAUCUCUUGGCUCUCGCAUCGAUGAAGAACGCAGCGAAAUGCGAUAAGUAAUGUGAAUUGCAGAUUUUCAGUGAAUCAUCGAAUCUUUGAACGCACCUUGCGCUCCUUGGUAUUCCGAGGAGCAUGCCUGUUUGAGUGUCAUUAAAUUCUCAACCCCACCGAUUUGCUUCGGGGGGAUUGGACUUGGAGCGUGCUGGCGAAGGUCGGCUCCUCUUUAAAUGCAUCAGUGGAGAGAAACUUGCCCCAGUGUGAUAAUCCUGUUGCGCUGUGGUGGGUGAAAGUCUGCUUCCAACCGUCCCUCCGGGGACAUAUGUCAUCUUAUUUUGACCUCAAAUCAGGUAGGACUACCCGCUGAACUUAAGCAUAUCAAU